CGAUACGACCGUACCGCAAACCGACACUGGUGCGCGAGAUGAGUAUUCUAAGGCGCUUGAGAGAACUCAGGAGAAGGAACUCGGCAAAUUGACACCGUAACUUCGGAAGAAGGUGUGCCUUAUUAGUGUGAAGUGAACAACGGAGCAUGAAUGGGUUGCAAAAAAUCGGUGGCUGCGACUGUUUAUUAAAAACACAGCACUCUGCAAACACGAAAGUGGACGUAUAGGGUGUGACGCCUGCCCGGUGCUGGAAGAUUAAAUGAUGGGGUGCAAGCUCUUGAUUGAAGUCCCAGUAAACGGCGGCCGUAACGAUAACGGUCCUAAGGUAGCGAAAUUCCUUGUCGGGUAAGUUCCGACCUGCACGAAUGGCGUAACGAUGGCCACACUGUCUCCUCCUGAGACUCAGCGAAGUUGAAAUGUUUGUGAUGAUGCAAUCUCCCCGCGGAAAGACGGAAAGACCCCAUGAACCUUUACUGUAGCUUUGUAUUGGACUUUGAACAGAUCUGUGUAGGAUAGGUGUAGGCUUUGAAGCAGGGUCGCUAGAUCUUGUGGAGCCAACGUUGAAAUACCACCCUGGUGUGUUUGAGGUUCUAACCUAGGUCCAUUAUCUGGAUCGGGGACAGUGCAUGGUAGGCAGUUUGACUGGGGCGGUCUCCUCCCAGCGUAACGGAGGAGUUCGAAGGUACGCUAGUUACGGUCGGACAUCGUGACGAUAGUGCAAUGGCAUAAGCGUGCUUAACUGCGAGACUGACAAGUCGAGCAGAUGCGAAAGCAGGACAUAGUGAUCCGGUGGUUCUGUAUGGAAGGGCCAUCGCUCAACGGAUAAAAGGUACUCUGGGGAUAACAGGCUGAUACCGCCCAAGAGUUCAUAUCGACGGCGGUGUUUGGCACCUCGAUGUCGGCUCAUCUCAUCCUGGGGCUGUAGCCGGUCCCAAGGGUAUGGCUGUUCGCCAUUUAAAGAGGUACGUGAGCUGGGUUUAAAACGUCGUGAGACAGUUUGGUCCCUAUCUUCCGUGGGCGCUGCAGAUUUGAGGAAGCCUGCUCCUAGUACGAGAGGACCGGAGUGGACACACCUCUGGUGUAUCGGUUGUCACGCCAGUGGCAUUGCCGAGUAGCUAAGUGUGGAAGAGAUAACCGCUGAAAGCAUCUAAGCGGGAAACUCGUUUCAAGAUGAGAUCUGCCGGGGCCUUGAGCCCCCUGAAGAGUCGUUCAAGACCAGGACGUUGAUAGGUCAGGUGUGGAAGC
This 1245-nucleotide ribosomal RNA is filed under the name metagenome. RNAcentral describes it as "bacterial LSU rRNA". It matches the Rfam family "Bacterial large subunit ribosomal RNA", at positions 1634 to 2874 of the family's 2925-position model. The record is from RNAcentral.